Molecule: ribosomal RNA, 245 nt
Filed under: Escherichia coli
Lineage: Bacteria; Pseudomonadati; Pseudomonadota; Gammaproteobacteria; Enterobacterales; Enterobacteriaceae
Description: partial 23S ribosomal RNA
Rfam family: Bacterial large subunit ribosomal RNA
Source: RNAcentral
UGCUCCUAGUACGAGAGGACCGGAGUGGACGCAUCACUGGUGUUCGGGUUGUCAUGCCAAUGGCACUGCCCGGUAGCUAAAUGCGGAAGAGAUAAGUGCUGAAAGCAUCUAAGCACGAAACUUGCCCCGAGAUGAGUUCUCCCUGACCCUUUAAGGGUCCUGAAGGAACGUUGAAGACGACGACGUUGAUAGGCCGGGUGUGUAAGCGCAGCGAUGCGUUGAGCUAACCGGUACUAAUGAACCGU